UACGUAGGGGGCAAGCGUUGUCCGGAAUCAUUGGGCGUAAAGAGCGUGUAGGCGGCCCGGUAAGUCCGCUGUAAAAGUCAAAGGCUUAACCUUUGAAUGUCAGUGGAUACUGCCGGGCUAGAGUCCGGAAGAGGCGAGUGGAACUCCUGGUGUAGCGGUGGAAUGCGCAGAUAUCGGAAGGAACACCAGUGGCGAAAGCGGCUUCCUGGUCCAGCACCGACGUUCAGGCACGAAAGCGUGGGGAGCAAACAGG
Molecule: ribosomal RNA, 253 nt
Filed under: uncultured bacterium
Lineage: Bacteria
Description: partial 16S ribosomal RNA
Rfam family: Bacterial small subunit ribosomal RNA
Source: RNAcentral